GAUCCUGGCUCAGGAUGAACGCUAGCGACAGGCCUAACACAUGCAAGUCGAGGGGCAGCGAAGAGGUAGCAAUACCUUUGCCGGCGACCGGCGCACGGGCGAGUAACACGUAUGCAGUCCACCUGUAACAGGGGGAUAACCCGGAGAAAUCCGGACUAAUACCCCAUAAUAUGGGCGCUCCGCAUGGAGAGCCCAUUAAAGAGAGCAAUUUUGGUUACAGACGAGCAUGCGCUCCA
This 236-nucleotide ribosomal RNA is filed under the name uncultured bacterium. RNAcentral's name for it is "partial 16S ribosomal RNA". It matches the Rfam family "Bacterial small subunit ribosomal RNA", at positions 15 to 240 of the family's 1533-position model. The record is from RNAcentral.